CUAACCACUACGGGAAAAAAGAACCUUAUCAGUCUUCUGAUCUCCUUACUAUCACCUGGGAGAAAUCCCACCCCGGCUACCCCCCCCCCUGGCUCUUGGCCCUGCCUUAGUGCUUGGAAGGUUUCUAGAACCUCAAUAAAUUUCCUGAAUUUUCUUGCCUUUUCAACCCACUUAUUGCUCACUCCCUCAGUCCUGUUACCAAAUACCUUGGCUUAAAGACACAGCUGCCAGAACAGGUGAGUAUAAAACACCUUUUCUCUUUUCCCUUUACCCCUUAAGUUAAAUUGGGGUCAACAGGAUUUUUUUUUUCCUUCUCCUCUUUGUCUCUCAUUUCCAUCUCCUUUUACUUUAAGGAGGUGGCUCAGUAGAGAGAGGCAGGCCAGGCUUACCUAAUCAACUAAGCAAGGAGGAACCUCAGGAGAAGGAGCUCUUAGGAGCUCCUAGCCCACAAAAAACAGCUGAAUACAGCUAGGGAGCUAACUUAAAACCCAUUUUUUUUUCUGUUUCCUGGCCUUUCUAGUCUUAAAAAUUUAAGUGGGCUUUGCUCAAGGAAGAUAGCACAUGGUCAUAGCGGCUUUAGCCUGAGGGCCAAAGAAGAUUGCUGGGACCCACCCACAUACACUUUGUAAGAAGGAGAAUUUACAAUACAAUAGGCCCUUAGCCUGUAUAGGGUUGUAGACUCAGAGCCACCUACUGUAAAAAGAAAAAGCCUGUGGAAAGUUUGUUGCUUUGCCCUGCUCCCCACUUGCUUUGUGAAAUUACAAAAUAUACAUAUAAAAAUGAGUACUAUAUCCUUUGACAAUUAUAAGGCAGCUGAAGAAGUAGGGGCAUUGAGGAAUGAAGGAUACCUCCAAAUUUUUAUAUUAAUAGGUACUGUCAUUUUUGUACUCCUCAAUACUAUAUUUAGAGAUGAAAAAAUAAAAAAAAUUGAGGAUAAAAUAAAACAAAAUGAGGAGAAAAUAAAACAAAAUGAGGAGGAAAUAAAGCAAAAUGAGGAUAAAAUAGAAAAAAUUGAGGAUAAAAUAGGAAAUAUUGAGAAUAAAAUAGGAAAUAUUGAGGAUAAAAUGGGAAAUAUGGAAGAUAAAAUAGGAAAAAUUGAGGAUAAAAUGCAAGCCCAAUUAGAAGAUCUAAAAAGUUUCUUACAGGAUCAAUUGACAAACAACCACUCUACCAGAAAUAGACCUGUUUCUGAACCUUUGAAUGAGGAAAUUUCCUUCCCUGAAAUAGAGAUGGAAAAUACCUUUCCUAUAGCCAAGUUAACAGACUGCUUCUCUCGUGUAGUGCAAAUCUUGUCUGAAUUUAAUCCCCAAAACCCUUCCCCGGCAAUCCCAGAUUCUCAUGUUCCUUCUCCUACAGAAAACCAAAUUCCAAUGCAAGAGAGAUCUUGUCCCCCUAGAAAAACCUGUCCUUGUCAAACUGACCCACAGGUGCAAAAUCCAACUAGAGGCCUGUUUCCUCUAAGAGAAGUACCUGAAAUAGGACGAAAUGGGGAUGUGGUGACUUUAAGACAUAGGAUACCGUUUACUCCCCAAGAAAUAAAUGAAUUUACACGAAAUAUUCCCACAUAUGAACAAGAUCCUUUUCUAGUAACAAAAAAGAUGGGAGACAUAUUUUUUCAGUAUAAUCCGUCUUACAAGGACGUUGAGAGCUUACUCCAGGCUUUUUUAAGUGAACGUGAAAAAAAUAAAAUAAUUGCUCAUGUCAACAAAACCAGGGGGCGUAAUGCAGCACAUUGGCCAUCUCAGGAUCCCGAAUGGGACUAUAACAAUCCUGAGGAUUAUCUACAACUAUACCGUUGUAGAGAGGCCAUCCUCACGUCCAUGAAGGAAUGUGCGGACAGUACAGAUAAGUGGAUGGAACUGGAAAAAAUUAAGCAAAAGGAAAACGAAACACCCUCCAGAUUUAUGGACAGAAUUAUCGAGUUUGGGGACAGAUACUUAGAUUGGGACUUAACUAAAGAGAGUAGUAUAAGACAAGUUAGAAGAAUCUUUGUAAACAAUUCUUGCAAAGCAAUUAAAAAUUAUUUCAAAACACAAUGCCCAAGAUGGUCAGAUAUGGACCUUGAAGAAUUGCGAAAAACAGCUAUAUAUGUUUUAAAGGGAAACGAAGAAAAGGAGAAAGAAAAUGAUGAUGACAUGGAGGAAAUGAAGAAAAAAAUGAGAUAUUUAAUAGAUAGGAUAACUAAAUUAGAAAGUGGGCAGGGUAAUGAACCAACGACAAUUGCCCCUCUCCAGAAAUCCAAUUAUCAAUCCAUUACUUGCCACUUCUGUGAGAAGAAGGGCCACAAAAUGAUGGAAUGUAGAACCUUUCUUAAGAUGUUUGGAAGGAAUACACAGUUUAAUAAUAGUUUUAGAAAUAAUAACUAUAAUGAAUAUAGAAAUAAGAACUUUAGAAACCAGAAUUAUAGAAAUAGGAAUUGGGAAAUUAAUGACAAUGCUCAAAUUGAAGAAAAUUUUAAUGAUAAUACUCAACAAUAUAUGAGAAA
Molecule: long non-coding RNA, 2485 nt
Filed under: Monodelphis domestica (gray short-tailed opossum)
Lineage: Eukaryota; Metazoa; Chordata; Mammalia; Didelphimorphia; Didelphidae
Description: lncRNA (ENSMODG00000029591.2)
Source: RNAcentral